UUCCCCCCAUUCUGAGCUCGUUUUUUCCGAAUCCCCAAUUCGCUUGAACGCACCAAACGUUUAUAUAGCGCAGAAGACUGGCCAGACACAUGCUUGCUCAUUCGAUUAGUCUUGUGAUCGACCUGAAGACGCCUUUCUAAAUGUCGAAGUUAUGGCUUAGAAAUGCUUCAUUGGUGUUUAACGUUAGUUAUUGGUACACUGCUGCCACUUGAGUCUUGCAAUGCUCCUGAACUGGUCAUUAACUCCCAAGUAGCUAGAUUGGUAGUUGUGGAGGGUUUGGGCCUUGCAGAACCAUGCACGUGGGGAACUGGAGAAACGUAAAACCAUUCCGGGGUUCUAGAUUCGGGAGCCCACUCCUUCUGGACCUGGCCAGGGCGGUAUGAACUGGAGCAUACCCCAUUGACUGCACAUAGCUGGAGUGACACCGCCCCAAUGAGUUGAGGACUAGAAGACUCAAGGUGUUAAACCACCCCAAUGGGUUGAUGGCAAGUGGUAAGGUGGUGUCCCUUUGAAUAACACACCUGCAAGUUCUCCCUGGACUGGACGUCAUUUAGCAGACGCUCUUAUCCAGAGCGACUUCGUCUGUUCGGUUGCCCCUUGCUGAUUCUCAGCUCCCAUCGAUACUUCAGAUUCUCUUCCACGUGGCCGGAGUUUCCAAGAUGGCCGGCGGCUUCCUUUCUUCCUCUGGAAGUGAUCAACUGGAAGGAAGGAGUUGUUGUGUGGUAGCCCAUAUGGGACUCACCUGGGACAUGGAUGCCUGAAGACCUAAGGCUCAACAUUGUUAAUAAAUAUCACCUGGGAGUAUGAGCAGCUGUGUGCAGUGGUUUCCUUUGUCUUUUCCAUGUGUGUUCUGCUUUGUUUAUUUUGAGGUUUUGCUGACUAAUGGUGUUUGUCUGUGACUAUAGAAAAGACGGUCAAUUCUUUUUAUCUUCAAUAAAUCUGUUUUAACCAUG
This is a long non-coding RNA of Oncorhynchus gorbuscha (pink salmon), 953 nucleotides long. RefSeq lists it as uncharacterized. The transcript is spliced from 8 exons. NCBI's taxonomy places the organism in Eukaryota, Metazoa, Chordata, Actinopteri, Salmoniformes, Salmonidae. The record is from RefSeq and is a predicted model, not a curated record.